Molecule: non-coding RNA, 1124 nt
Filed under: Drosophila simulans
Lineage: Eukaryota; Metazoa; Arthropoda; Insecta; Diptera; Drosophilidae
Description: Eukaryotic large subunit ribosomal RNA
Rfam family: Eukaryotic large subunit ribosomal RNA
Source: Rfam by way of RNAcentral
GAUGUAAACCUAAUAGCGUAAUUAACUUGACUAAUAAUGGGAUUAGUUUUUUAGCUAUUUAUAGCUAAUUAACACAAUCCCGGGGCGUUCUAUAUAGUUAUGUAUAAUGUAUAUUUAUAUUAUUUAUGCCUCUAACUGGAACGUACCUUGAGCAUAUAUGCUGUGACCCGAAAGAUGGUGAACUAUACUUGAUCAGGUUGAAGUCAGGGGAAACCCUGAUGGAAGACCGAAACAGUUCUGACGUGCAAAUCGAUUGUCAGAAUUGAGUAUAGGGGCGAAAGACCAAUCGAACCAUCUAGUAGCUGGUUCCUUCCGAAGUUUCCCUCAGGAUAGCUGGUGCAUUUUAAUAUUAUAUAAAAUAAUCUUAUCUGGUAAAGCGAAUGAUUAGAGGCCUUAGGGUCGAAACGAUCUUAACCUAUUCUCAAACUUUAAAUGGGUAAGAACCUUAACUUUCUUGAUAUGAAGUUCAAGGUUAUGAUAUAAUGUGCCCAGUGGGCCACUUUUGGUAAGCAGAACUGGCGCUGUGGGAUGAACCAAACGUAAUGUUACGGUGCCCAAAUUAACAACUCAUGCAGAUACCAUGAAAGGCGUUGGUUGCUUAAAACAGCAGGACGGUGAUCAUGGAAGUCGAAAUCCGCUAAGGAGUGUGUAACAACUCACCUGCCGAAGCAACUAGCCCUUAAAAUGGAUGGCGCUUAAGUUGUAUACCUAUACAUUACCGCUAAAGUAGAUGAUUUAUAUUACUUGUGAUAUAAAUUUUGAAACUUUAGUGAGUAGGAAGGUACAAUGGUAUGCGUAGAAGUGUUUGGCGUAAGCCUGCAUGGAGCUGCCAUUGGUACAGAUCUUGGUGGUAGUAGCAAAUAAUCGAAUGAGACUUGGAGGACUGAAGUGGAGAAGGUUUCGUGUGAACAGUGGUUGAUCACGAGUUAGUCGGUCCUAAGUUCAGGCGAAAGCCGAAAAUUUUAAGUAAAACAAAUGCCUACUAUAUAACAAAGCGAUAUAUACACUUGAAAAUUUGACGAAGGGAUACGGUUCAAUUCGUAACUGUUAGGUACGGUUGUUUAAAUGGGCGCGGCCUCCGACACAGAACACUAAAAACCCCAGAAAUGAAAUGUUUUUCUUUU